CUGAAAUUUUCAGGACCAAUAAAUCUUGUUAAUGAUGUGCACUGCAAUUCACUGUUGCAGACCAUGAUUUUCUCCACUUCAGCUGGUUAAAAAAGGGAACAAUUUUGGGGGAAAAUGCUUCUUAUCUGUAACAAUUUACCUCAAUUCUAAAUAUAAUGCACACUUAUUAUCUAUAGGAAUUAAUAUAAGCAUUAAAAUAUACUCCAAAUCUUGAUACUUUCCUUCAUCCUCAGCCUUGUUUAUUACCUGCUUUGAAACAAAAGAAAGAAGGCACACAUUUUUUAGGACAAGCAUCAUCUUGAACAUUAUGUUUAUGGAUUUAAUGUUCACAACAUUCAUUUCAGUGCUUAAUUGUGAAGCGAACAUGAGAGCAGAUGGAAAUAUCAGACACCUUACCAGGAAAAAAUCAUUUUCCCCCAAAACUUUGAAGGAAUUUUGUCAAUUUUGACACACACUGUUGCCUUUAAGAGAUGAUCACAGCAGCUGUGGAGAAGAUUCAAGUACUGGUUGAACAAAGCACAGAAAACAGCAAUGGUGAAAGACAAUGGAGAGGCAGAACUGAUGUUUUUAUUAUUUAAAAAUAUUGGGUAUUAAGGUAUUUCAUGAGAUAGUCCUUGGUAUUCUCAUCAUAAAUGUUAAGAAAUAAAAUUUUAAUUAGCAUGGACUAUCUGUAGUUG
Molecule: long non-coding RNA, 677 nt
Filed under: Crocodylus porosus (Australian saltwater crocodile)
Lineage: Eukaryota; Metazoa; Chordata; Crocodylia; Crocodylidae
Description: lncRNA (ENSCPRG00005011449.1)
Source: RNAcentral